Molecule: ribosomal RNA, 1432 nt
Filed under: uncultured organism
Description: 16S ribosomal RNA
Rfam family: Bacterial small subunit ribosomal RNA
Source: RNAcentral
UGGCGGCGUGCUUAACACAUGCAAGUCGAACGGAAAGGCCCUGCUUUUGUGGGGUGCUCGAGUGGCGAACGGGUGAGUAACACGUGAGUAACCUGCCCUUGACUUUGGGAUAACUUCAGGAAACUGGGGCUAAUACCGGAUAGGAGCUCCUGCUGCAUGGUGGGGGUUGGAAAGUUUCGGCGGUUGGGGAUGGACUCGCGGCUUAUCAGCUUGUUGGUGGGGUAGUGGCUUACCAAGGCUUUGACGGGUAGCCGGCCUGAGAGGGUGACCGACCACAUUGGGACUGAGAUACGGCCCAGACUCCUACGGGAGGCAGCAGUGGGGAAUAUUGCACAAUGGGCGGAAGCCUGAUGCAGCAACGCCGCGUGCGGGAUGACGGCCUUCGGGUUGUAAACCGCUUUCGCCUGUGACGAAGCGUGAGUGACGGUAAUGGGUAAAGAAGCACCGGCUAACUACGUGCCAGCAGCCGCGGUGAUACGUAGGGUGCGAGCGUUGUCCGGAUUUAUUGGGCGUAAAGGGCUCGUAGGUGGUUGAUCGCGUCGGAAGUGUAAUCUUGGGGCUUAACCCUGAGCGUGCUUUCGAUACGGGUUGACUUGAGGAAGGUAGGGGAGAAUGGAAUUCCUGGUGGAGCGGUGGAAUGCGCAGAUAUCAGGAGGAACACCAGUGGCGAAGGCGGUUCUCUGGGCCUUUCCUGACGCUGAGGAGCGAAAGCGUGGGGAGCGAACAGGCUUAGAUACCCUGGUAGUCCACGCUGUAAACGGUGGGUACUAGGUGUGGGGUCCAUUCCACGGGUUCCGUGCCGUAGCUAACGCUUUAAGUACCCCGCCUGGGGAGUACGGCCGCAAGGCUAAAACUCAAAGGAAUUGACGGGGCCCCGCACAAGCGGCGGAGCAUGCGGAUUAAUUCGAUGCAACGCGUAGAACCUUACCUGGGUUUGACAUGGAUCGGGAGUGCUCAGAGAUGGGUGUGCCUCUUUUGGGGUCGGUUCACAGGUGGUGCAUGGCUGUCGUCAGCUCGUGUCGUGAGAUGUUGGGUUAAGUCCCGCAACGAGCGCAACCCUUGUUCACUGUUGCCAGCACGUUAUGGUGGGGACUCAGUGGAGACCGCCGGGGUCAACUCGGAGGAAGGUGGGGAUGACGUCAAGUCAUCAUGCCCCUUAUGUCCAGGGCUUCACGCAUGCUACAAUGGCUGGUACAGAGAGUGGCGAGCCUGUGAGGGUGAGCGAAUCUCGGAAAGCCGGUCUCAGUUCGGAUUGGGGUCUGCAACUCGACCUCAUGAAGUCGGAGUCGCUAGUAAUCGCAGAUCAGCAACGCUGCGGUGAAUACGUUCCCGGGGCUUGUACACACCGCCCGUCAAGUCAUGAAAGUUGGUAACACCCGAAGCCGGUGGCCUAACCGUUGUGGGGGAGCCGUCGAAGGUGGGACUGGUGAUU